AGUAUGACUUAUUCCUACUAGAGACCACUGCAGAUGUGUUAAACUGUUCCUACUGUGAAACACGGAGGAGGCGCUGUUAUGUUCUGGGGCUGUUUUGCUGCAUCUGGUACAGGAUUUUUUUUAUCACAGUUCAUGGGUCUUCUGCAACAUGACAAUGACCCAAAACACUCAGCUGAAAACACAAACAAGAACGGCUAAGAGGAAAACAUCAGACUAUUCUAAAGUGGCCUUCUAUGAGUCCUGACAUCAAUCCUAUUGAGCAUCUUUGUAAAGAAUUGAAACAUGCUGUCUGGACAAGACAUCCUUCCAACCCGAGAUAACUGGAGAAGUUUGCUCGUGAGGAGCGGGCCAAAAUACCUGCUGAGAAGUGCAGAAGUCUCAUUGACAGUUACAGGCAUCGGUUGAUUGCAGUGAUUGCCUCAAAAGGUUGUGCAACAAAAUAUUAAGUUGGGGUAUCAUCAUUUUAGCCCAGGCCUGUUCCAUGAGUUUAUUUAUUUAAUUAAUUCCAUAGAAGCAUGGUUGAAAAGCAACAUCUGACUUUCACUGGUUAUAUUUCAUAGAAUUUUUUUAUUAUUUAUUUAAAUUUCAUUUAACUUUUGUCAGAUUCAAGUUAUUUCAGCGACCAUUGUGGGGUUUUCUUUUUUUCUCAUUUCACAAUGCCGUCCAUGUCUGUAUGAAUUCUGUGAUGAAGUCACUAAACUCUCCAGAUUGUUAGGUUGUCUUUUUCCUCAGCAGUGACACUAAAACUCCGCCCUGCGCAGCAGAUGCUCAGUAGACGGGCCCUUUGCUGUAAUGGUCUGAGUUAGAACCAAUCACACACACACUCAUUCACUCCUCCUGCCACCGGCUCCCAGGCCUCUAACCAAUCAGAGCAGCCCUCCGUCCUCACAUGACUCGUGUGCUACCGUCCGUACACUGCCUCGUAUAUAGAGCGUGCAAGAAAAUGUGGAGCAGUUCAAUAACUUGAGCUGCAGCCAGGCUUUCACGUGUGUGUGCGUGCGUGUGUGUGUGCGUGUGUGUGUGCGUGUGCGUGUGUGUGUGCGUGUUAGUGGGGGAAGGGAUGUGUGCUUGUUUAUUUAUAUGAUGCGCUGAAGAAGCGACAGUAGGGGUGAAAGAGGAAGAGUUUGAAGUCUGAUGUUUUCCUGCGUGCCAGAAGAGCGUGCUCGUCUGGAAGAAGAAAGACAAGAGCGAGGGAGGGAGGGACGGAGGGAGGGAAAGAGGGGGGGAGGGAGGGUGAGGAACUCGUUCAACCCAUUUCAGCGGCAACUUUUCAGCUCGUCUACAUGAGGUCUCCUCCUGAGAAUGGAAGCCUUUCGCGCUCGUCGUCUCUUCGCCGCCGUUUCCUGUUCCUGAACUUUUGGGAACAUUACAGGAGGGAGUUCAUGGAGACAUGGGCUUGUCAGAGAGACUAAGAUCUAACCGAAGAUGAUGAAGACGACGAUCGCCAAGUCUGCAGGGCUUCCCAAAGGCAUCCAAACCUGCAACCUUUCCUCAAAAUAUUUUUUGAUUCCUUGCAACAACUAAGUGGCAAUGAAUUAGACAUGGAGAUGCUCCACAAGCUCUAAGUGCAAACUCACAAAGAACUGUGUACCUUCGUCUCAUUGAUGGAUGCAGAUUGGAUUAUUUAAAAUCAUAAUCGUGAUUAUUUUUGGUAAAUAUUAAACUCAAGGUUAUUUAACAAAUAAUACUAAAUAACAUCUAGUUCUCACGUCUGACCAAAAACACACCACAGCAGCACAGCUCAUCCAAAUCAGAGCGUCAGAGAGCACUACACGUUUACCACCUAUGCUGUAGAUGCUGCCUUCACUUACAUCACCAACAGGCUUCCAGUUGAGUAAAACCGAAAAUAUCCAGACUUCACACAACAGACGCUGCAGACAAAGACACUUGACAAUAAAAUGAAUUUUUACUGUUGUUGUAUAUUGAAUGUGUUCAUUUUAAUCUAUGUGAAACAAGCAAACCCUGGUGCCUACAGGGAACAUUCAACGCUGUCGGUGAGUUUGUGGUCUGACAAAAACCAUUGACCGUUGACUGUACCCUGAGGGACACCUAAAGCACAAGAUCCAGUUCUAGGUCCAAAACCAACGAUCAGUGGAGCAGAGGUUUCAUUCAAGGCUGCAAUAAACAUUCAUUGCUGUCGGUGGGUUUAUACUAGAAUAACUCACUGAUCAAUGAAUGCAGACUGCGGUUCAAACACUCCUGGCAAUGAUGCACACUAACAGGAAGGUGAGCAACUCACCCAACCCAGGGUGCAGGUAAACCUGUACACGGGUUUGUGUGCAUACUAAUACAGACACAGCAAUCCCCGUUCAGGUGUUGCAAAGUCCAGAUGUUAAGCUUUUGGUAUGAAUAAAGAGUUUGUAAGUAUUCCAGUGUAUAGAUAUGUAGCUGGAGUCAGAAGGUUUUAUCCUGUUAUCAUUGAUCUGAACAGUGAUUUUCCAAAUG
Non-coding RNA from Nothobranchius furzeri (turquoise killifish), 2445 nucleotides. NCBI's taxonomy places the organism in Eukaryota, Metazoa, Chordata, Actinopteri, Cyprinodontiformes, Nothobranchiidae. The record is from RefSeq and is a predicted model, not a curated record.